Molecule: ribosomal RNA, 253 nt
Filed under: uncultured bacterium
Lineage: Bacteria
Description: partial 16S ribosomal RNA
Rfam family: Bacterial small subunit ribosomal RNA
Source: RNAcentral
UACAGAGGUCCCGAGCGUUGUUCGGAUUCAUUGGGCGUAAAGGGUGCGUAGGCGGCGGGGCAAGUCUGAUGUGAAAUCCCGGGGCUCAACCCCGGAACUGCAUUGGAUACUGCCUUGCUCGAGUACUGGAGAGGGAACUGGAAUUUACGGUGUAGCAGUGAAAUGCGUAGAGAUCGUAAGGAAGGCCAGUGGCGAAGGCGAGUUCCUGGACAGUUACUGACGCUGAGGCACGAAGGCCAGGGGAACAAACGGG